GAGUGAGUUGUGUCUGGGUCAUUGUUGCUAGGCAGAUUAAGCACUCCACAUCCAGAAGCUUCUGGAAUUGGGUGUGGUAUUUUUGGGUAUGCUCCAAUAGGCUACCUGUGGCUGGGGUCAGACUCCAUGAGGGCAAGCAGUCAGGACAGCUGCUUUGCAGGGGGCCACGUGCCCUGUGUGAAUUGGGAGAAGCUGAGCCCAGGAGCAGAAAGCAGGCUGUUGUCCCUAACCAUGAAGCGUUUUGCAGCAGAUGAACCCACCCAGAUGAUCAUUCCAACAGUGUUGUGAUAAGCAGUCCUGGAUGUUUUCUCAUGAAAGACAAUUGGGAGUUAUGAAGAUGAAGAAACUUCUGCACAGCUGUGUUUGGGGACCAGGGCUGCACUGAGACAUUGAGCAUCAUGUAAAGGUGAUGACAAUCUUCUUGUGGGCUGCCUUGUUAUCUGCUAAGGCAACAAAUGUCAAAUUGGAUUCACUCAGUGAUGUUGGGAUGCCCUGGAUUGAACAGGUAUGGAAAGAGUUGCCCUGCAAGAAAAAUUAUUUCUUCCAGAGCUUCUUUGACAGAACCACAGGUUUAUAUGAUAACACACAACCUAUCAGCGCUGCUGAAUAGCAGCGCGGAGCCAUCAGCCAUCUCACAGAUCUGGGGUCUAAUCUGAGCAGAACCUCACACAAUGUUACCAAACGAACAAGUGGAUUUCCAACCAGGCCAGAGCUGCACCAACCAUUAUUACAAGAAAUGUGUAAAUCUCAUUCAGAAAAUGACAGGAAUGACCUGGGGAGCUGAUGCAAAAACUCUGGACAUCUUCAUUCGCUCUUGUCUACUCUACUGCAGAGUACUACUCAUCUGUCUGGACACACAGCUCCCACACAUAGCUUGUCAACUCUCAACUUCACACUGGCACAGUAAAAUCAAUGGCACAACCCUGGCUUCCCACAUUGGCACACAUCUACUCACCCCAAAUUCAUCGCAACCUGAUAAUCCUUCAGAAUUCAUUGUAUCAGAAAGACAAGGAUGUUCCAAUAUAUGAAGACCUAAACAACAUAUUGAGAUUUCCACCAAAAUCCAGAAACCUUUUUGGCUUGCAGUGCAAGAGCUCAAAGACUUGGGGUUGUCCCCCAAAGAUCAAUGGCAAGCAAGAUGGUAGGAUGCCAACAUCCCAAACAAACAUCUCAUCAACGACCCAAUCAAAGAAUCCAGUGGUUUCAUUCCCAGGGAAAAUAUGGUCCACUUUGAACUGCAUCAUCAUAUGGAAGAGGUACCUACUUCCUCCCUAAAUGGGGACUGAGACCCAAUCUGUUACUGCAGAAACAGACUUCAAACUAUGGAAUGACUAAUCAACUAAUGUCCCAAACAAGUAUAGCCUGGUGAUAUCUCUGCCAUCUGCUCCGCAUCACCUCAGGCAAUCAACUGGAUUGCCAAUUUAGACUUGGACAAGUAACAUUGCUGAUUUUAAGCCAUACAAAAGAAAAAGAAAGGAGAAUAUGUGCAAUAUAAGUCUUCUGUUCUGAUGCUAACUUUAAUAUUUGUUAAAUAGAUAGCCGCUUAUUUUUGUUUAGAAUGUUUCCUUUUCUUUUCAUAGGACAGUAGCUUAUUUUGCAACUGAUAAUGUAAUCCAAGGAUCAGAAUAUUCAGAAGAUUCCAAUUUGUCUAGGAGAGCUAAACAGAACUUCUAACAGAGUGGAACAAAUGCUGUACUGACAUAUAUCCUGUGCAACCCCAGUGACUUAAGUGAAGUUGUACAGGAUGCAAAAAUUUGACAGAACUUAAAUUUAAAAUAAAGUUAAAUUUAUAGU
Long non-coding RNA from Chelonia mydas (Green sea turtle), 1794 nucleotides. RefSeq lists it as uncharacterized. The record is from RefSeq and is a predicted model, not a curated record. The transcript has 3 exons. Lineage: Eukaryota; Metazoa; Chordata; Testudines; Cheloniidae.